Molecule: non-coding RNA, 125 nt
Organism: Hordeum vulgare subsp. vulgare (domesticated barley)
Lineage: Eukaryota; Viridiplantae; Streptophyta; Magnoliopsida; Poales; Poaceae
Source: Rfam
CAAAUACUCCCUUCGUCCGGAAUUACUUGUCGUAUAAAUUUAUAAAAAUAGAUGUAUAUAGAACUAAAAUACAUCUAGAUGCAUCCAUUUCCAUGACAAGUAUUUUCGGACGGAGGGAGUAGUAA